Molecule: ribosomal RNA, 292 nt
Filed under: uncultured Delftia sp.
Lineage: Bacteria; Pseudomonadati; Pseudomonadota; Betaproteobacteria; Burkholderiales; Comamonadaceae
Description: partial 16S ribosomal RNA
Rfam family: Bacterial small subunit ribosomal RNA
Source: RNAcentral
GUGCCAGCAGCCGCGGUAAUACGUAGGGUGCGAGCGUUAAUCGGAAUUACUGGGCGUAAAGCGUGCGCAGGCGGUUAUGUAAGACAGAUGUGAAAUCCCCGGGCUCAACCUGGGAACUGCAUUUGUGACUGCAUGGCUAGAGUACGGUAGAGGGGGAUGGAAUUCCGCGUGUAGCAGUGAAAUGCGUAGAUAUGCGGAGGAACACCGAUGGCGAAGGCAAUCCCCUGGACCUGUACUGACGCUCAUGCACGAAAGCGUGGGGAGCAAACAGGAUUAGAUACCCCAGUAGUCC